UACGAAGGGGGCGAGCGUUGUUCGGAUUUACUGGGCGUAAAGGGCGCGCAGGCGGCUUAUUUUGUCAGGCGUGAAAGCCCCGGGCUUAACCUGGGAACUGCGUUUGAUACGGAUGGGCUAGAGUUCGGGAGAGGAGCGUGGAAUUCCCAGUGUAGAGGUGAAAUUCGUAGAUAUUCGGAAGAACACCAGUGGCGAAGGCGACUUACUGGACACAUAUUGACGCUGAGGUGCGAAAGCGUGGGGAGCAAACAGG
RNAcentral lists this ribosomal RNA (253 nucleotides) under uncultured bacterium. RNAcentral's name for it is "partial 16S ribosomal RNA". It matches the Rfam family "Bacterial small subunit ribosomal RNA", at positions 524 to 776 of the family's 1533-position model. The record is from RNAcentral.